UAGCUCAAUAGGUUAGAGUAACGGGCCUUUAACCCGUGGGUUCCACGUUCAAGUCGGGGGGGGUC
RNAcentral lists this transfer RNA (65 nucleotides) under Crassvirales sp. Its description in RNAcentral is "tRNA-Lys". It matches the Rfam family "tRNA", at positions 8 to 63 of the family's 71-position model. From Rfam's summary of the family: Transfer RNA (tRNA) molecules are approximately 80 nucleotides in length. Their secondary structure includes four short double-helical elements and three loops (D, anti-codon, and T loops). The record is from RNAcentral. Lineage: Duplodnaviria; Heunggongvirae; Uroviricota; Caudoviricetes; Crassvirales.